AGGGUGGUGGUGCUGGCAGUGGUUAUACUGUCCCAUACACACCACACACACACACACACACACACACACACACACACACUGUCAUGAACACUCAAAAGACAAUCAUACACACACACACGUGAUGUGUUGCUAUAUCACCGAUAGAUUUCAAGCAGUGCCAAUCACCUAUCACCAUGCGGCAAGACAAGCAGUGCCUUCACCACAAUCUCAACACUGCCUUAUCUUCAUCAAUUAAAGGCUCAGACGUGAAGACGGAAGUAAUAGAAGAAAGAAGAAGGAGAAAUAAAGGAGGAGGACGAAGAAUAAACGAGAAAUAGAGGCGGAAUAGGAGAAGGAGCUAAGAUGUUUGUUGGGUUCCUGAAGAUGCGUCGACGUGUUAUCAUCCACGCAAGCUUCCCCAACCCAGCCAGUGUACCACAGGACGGGAGGAGGAAGCCAGCGGCUGCAUGCACCAUUGAACAGGACGGCAUUGUAUUCCUCCCACAGGAGUGACUACAGCGAAGCAAGCCCAGAAUAAAGUGUUGAGUGACCGUGAUGAUUCAGUACUACUAACACCAAACAAGUGAGGGAAGUGUUCGGAGUGAACGUGCAAGACAUACAACAGACACCAGACUGCUGCCGCUGCUGCUACUGCCGGUGUAGCCAAAGGAACAAAAGGUCCGGAGCAAGAGGAAGAAAUGGGUGAUUCUUGGAAACGCACCAAUGAAGUUGUGAAGGUUGGCCACAAAUCUUCAUCACUGGUGUAGUGUAUUUCAUUGACCAUUUGUAGAUUGGGUGGAUAAACUUGUAGAUUUUGUAGACAGUUGUAGAUGUGUAGCUAGUGGGUAAGGUUUUUUGCAAUGCCUUAUCUACACCAGCAGAAAACAGUGAUAUGGACAACUUGUGCAUAGCAUAGUGAUAGCAGUGUACAGUGUACAUGUAUACCUCUUUUUCUUUUCAAUGAUGUCUCGGGUGUGUCGCCUAGUGCGUUCCCUUGUCCCGCUUCGAGAGAGAGAGAGAGAGAGAGCGAUUCGGAUCACCACCGCGUCGAGCUGCCUGCCCACCUCCCUCCAUUGUCCUUCCCCUCUCACUUGAGUAUUGUGAACGUUGUAUUUAUUUUCAUCACGCCUCUGUGUUUGUAAAGGGAGAGUGUUCCAAUAAGUGAGCUCUGUUUGCAGUCACAUGUGUAUUUCAAAGGUGUUUUGCCAAGUGCUGUGCUGAGGUGUUGUGGUGUAUCUGUCUAUACGGUGUUCGAGCUAGCUUUCGCCCAUGUUUGUGACGCUACCUUCCGUACUGCAUUUAAUGUCUGU
Portunus trituberculatus (swimming crab) is the source of this 1289-nucleotide long non-coding RNA. RefSeq lists it as uncharacterized. The transcript has 5 exons. Lineage: Eukaryota; Metazoa; Arthropoda; Malacostraca; Decapoda; Portunidae. The record is from RefSeq and is a predicted model, not a curated record.